GGACGGGUGGCAGAGUGGUUGAUCGCUCCGGUCUUGAAAACCGGCGUGGGGGCAACUCCACCGUGGGUUCGAAUCCCACCCCGUCCGCCA
Molecule: transfer RNA, 90 nt
Filed under: Alphaproteobacteria bacterium
Lineage: Bacteria; Pseudomonadati; Pseudomonadota; Alphaproteobacteria
Description: tRNA-Ser
Rfam family: tRNA
About the family: Transfer RNA (tRNA) molecules are approximately 80 nucleotides in length. Their secondary structure includes four short double-helical elements and three loops (D, anti-codon, and T loops). Further hydrogen bonds mediate the characteristic L-shaped molecular structure. tRNAs have two regions of fundamental functional importance: the anti-codon, which is responsible for specific mRNA codon recognition, and the 3' end, to which the tRNAs corresponding amino acid is attached (by aminoacyl-tRNA synthetases). tRNAs cope with the degeneracy of the genetic code in two manners: having more than one tRNA (with a specific anti-codon) for a particular amino acid; and 'wobble' base-pairing, i.e. permitting non-standard base-pairing at the 3rd anti-codon position.
Source: RNAcentral